This 468-nucleotide ribosomal RNA is filed under the name uncultured bacterium. RNAcentral describes it as "partial 16S ribosomal RNA". It matches the Rfam family "Bacterial small subunit ribosomal RNA", at positions 28 to 507 of the family's 1533-position model. The record is from RNAcentral.
GACGAACGCUGGCGGCGUGCUUAACACAUGCAAGUCGAACGGAAAGGCCCUGCUUUUGUGGGGUGCUCGAGUGGCGAACGGGUGAGUAACACGUGAGUAACCUGCCCUUGACUUUGGGAUAACUUCAGGAAACUGGGGCUAAUACCGGAUAGGAGCUCCUGCUGCAUGGUGGGGGUUGGAAAGUUUCGGCGGUUGGGGAUGGACUCGCGGCUUAUCAGCUUGUUGGUGGGGUAGUGGCUUACCAAGGCUUUGACGGGUAGCCGGCCUGAGAGGGUUACCGGCCACAUUGGGACUGAGAUACGGCCCAGACUCGUACGGGAGGCAGCAGGGGGGAAUAUUGCACAAUGGGCGGAAGCCUGAUGCAGCAACGCCGCGUGCGGGAUGACGGCUUUCGGGUUGUAAACCGCUUUCGCCUGUGACGAAGCGUGAGUGACGGUAAUGGGUAAAGAAGCACCGGCUAACUACGUG